CCGAAGUUUUGUUCACUCAGUUUUGAGUUUUUGUAAUUUUGAUAGACUUCUUUUGUGCUUUCAUUUUCUCAAUGAUUUGUACGUCAUUUUUAAAACACUUCCGUAGUACGGACGAUAUUGAUGAUGAAAUAUCUUAUGAAGAUCAUUUAGAGGUUUAUUUUGAAUAACUGACAAUUCCAGGAAUGAUGGAAUAAAACAUAUGAAGUAGAAGGACUGGAACCUCCAGAAAAAAUACUUCAAGUUACCGACAAGUGAUCUUAGUCAGGCAAAUGAAAACAGUAGCCUAAAGUGUCGGUUUCAACCAGAAAAUAACAGCUAUGAUUUCUCAUGGCUCACACUCUUCUGAAACGACUCAGGAAGAGGCUGAGGAAGGCCAUGUUGUUUGUCUACCUGGGACUACACCUACUGAAAGAAGUUCUGAAGUUCUGAUUGAGUUCUAAAAGUUUUUUGAAGAUUGGAAUUCUUCAUAUGUAAGUAAAACCAAUUUCUGAUGACCCAUUUCUAGUCCAUCUUCUAAAGAAGUAUUUAAUCUGGGCCAUGCGUGGUGGCUCAUGCCUGUAAUCCCAGCACUUUGGGAGGCCAAGGCGGGUGGAUCACAAGGUCAAGAGAUCAAGACCAUCCUGGCCAACAUGGUGAAACCCCAUCUCUACUAAAAUACAAAAAUUAGCUGGGCAUGGUGGUGCGUGCCUGUAGUCCCAGCUACUCGGGAGGCUGAGGCAGGAGAAUCACUUGAACCUGGGAGACAGAGGUUACAGUGAGCCGAGAUUGCGCCACUGCACUCCAGCCUGGCAACAGAGCAAGACACUGUCUCAAAAAAAAAAAAAAAAAAGAAAAAAAAAGAAGUAUUUAAUCUGAGCUGGGCAUGAUGGCUCACUCCUGUAAUCUCAGCAAUUUUAGAGGCCAAGGCAUGAGGGUUACUUGAAACCAGGAGUUUGACACCAGCCUAGACAACAAUAGCAAGACCCCAUCUCUACAAAAAAAAAUUUAAAAAUUAGCUGCGCAGGAGGCUGAGUUGGGAGGAUCGCUUGAGCUUAGGAGUUGGAGGUUGCAGAAAGCUAUGAUCAUGCCACUGCACUCCAGGCUGGAUGACAGUGAGACCCUGUCUCUGAAACACAAAUAAAACUAACAAAAAAAGUGUUUGUAGGAGGCUCCCGGCAAUCUUAGCCUGAAGCCAUGAAGGAAGUCGUAGUGUGAAGGCAAGUGCAGGGUGGCCUCUGGCAGCUGAGGAUCAG
RNAcentral lists this long non-coding RNA (1232 nucleotides) under Cercocebus atys (sooty mangabey). RNAcentral describes it as "lncRNA (ENSCATG00000045708.1)". Lineage: Eukaryota; Metazoa; Chordata; Mammalia; Primates; Cercopithecidae. The record is from RNAcentral.